GGUUAAGUGAACAAGGGCGCAUGGCGGAUGCCUUGGCACUAGAAGUCGAUGAAGGACGGAACUAACACCGAUAUGCUUCGGGGAGCUGUAAGUAAGCGUUGAUCCGAAGAUUUCCGAAUGGGGGAACCCACUAUUCGUAAUGGAAUAGUACACUUGCGUGAAUACAUAGCGCAAUGUGAGACAGACCCGGAGAACUGAAACAUCUAAGUACCCGGAGGAAGAGAAAGAAAAAUCGAUUCCCUUAGUAGCGGCGAGCGAACAGGGAAGAGCCCAAACCGAGAAGCUUGCUUCUCGGGGUUGUAGGACACUCUACAUAGAGUUACAAAAGAAUUUGUUAAAUGAAGCGACCUGGAAAGGUCCACCGCAGAAGGUAAUAGUCCUGUAGUUGAAAGCAAAUUCACUCUUGAGUGGAUCCUGAGUACGGCGGAACACGUGAAAUUCCGUCGGAAUCUGGGAGGACCAUCUCCCAAGGCUAAAUACUCUCUAGUGACCGAUAGUGAACCAGUACCGUGAGGGAAAGGUGAAAAGCACCCCGGAAGGGGAGUGAAAAAGAUCCUGAAACCAUGUGCCUACAAGUAGUCAGAGCCCGUUAAUGGGUGAUGGCGUGCCUUUUGUAGAAUGAACCGGCGAGUUACGAUAUCGUGCAAGGUUAAGCAGUGAAUGUGGAGCCGCAGCGAAAGCGAGUCUGAAUAGGGCGAAUAAGUACGGUGUCGUAGACCCGAAACCAGGUGAUCUACCCAUGUCCAGGGUGAAGGUAAGGUAAUACUUACUGGAGGCCCGAACCCACGUAUGUUGAAAAAUGCGGGGAUGAGGUGUGGGUAGCGGUGAAAUUCCAAUCGAACCUGGAAAUAGCUGGUUCUCUCCGAAAUAGCUUUAGGGCUAGCCUCGAACAAUUGAAUCUCGGAGGUAGAGCACUGUUUGGACUAGGGGCCCAUCCCGGGUUACCGAAUUCAGACAAACUCCGAAUGCCGAUGAUUUAAGUUCGGGAGUCAGACUGUGGGUGAUAAGAUCCAUCGUCGAGAGGGGAACAGCCCAGACCGCCGAUUAAGGUCCCUAAAUAUCUGUUAAGUGGAAAAGGAUGUGGCGUUGCCCAGACAACCAGGAUGUUGGCUUAGAAGCAGCCACCAUUUAAAGAGUGCGUAAUAGCUCACUGGUCGAGUGGCGCUGCGCCGAAAAUGUACCGGGGCUAAACAGAUUACCGAAAUCGCGGAUUGAUACCUAUGGUAUCAGUGGUAGGAGAGCGUUCUAAGGGCGUCGAAGCAUGAUCGUAAGAACGUGUGGAGCGCUUAGAAGUGAGAAUGCCGGUAUGAGUAGCGAAAGACAAGUGAGAAUCUUGUCCACCGAAUACCUAAGGUUUCCUGAGGAAGGCUCGUCCGCUCAGGGUUAGUCGGGUCCUAAGCCGAGGCUGAAAAGCGUAGGCGAUGGCCAACAGGUUGAUAUUCCUGUACCACCUCCCCGCCGCUUGAGUGAUGGGGGGACGCAGUAAGAUAGGGUAAGCGCACCGUUGGUUGUGUGCGUCGAAGCAGUGAGGUGUGAAACGAGGCAAAUCCCGUUUCUCUAACAUUGAGCUGUGAUCGCGAGGCAAUUGUGCCGAAGUUCCUGAUUCUACGCUGCCAAGAAAAGCCUCUAACGAGGCGGGAGGUGCCCGUACCGCAAACCGACACAGGUAGGUGAGGAGAGAAUCCUAAGGUGAUCGAGUGAACUCUCGUUAAGGAACUCGGCAAAAUGACCCCGUAACUUCGGGAGAAGGGGUGCUCUGUUAGGGUGAAAGCCCGAGAGAGCCGCAGUGAAUAGGCCCAGGCGACUGUUUAGCAAAAACACAGGUCUCUGCAAAACCGUAAGGUGACGUAUAGGGGCUGACGCCUGCCCGGUGCUGGAAGGUUAAGAGGAAGGGUUAGCUUCGGCGAAGCUCUGAAUUGAAGCCCCAGUAAACGGCGGCCGUAACUAUAACGGUCCUAAGGUAGCGAAAUUCCUUGUCGGGUAAGUUCCGACCCGCACGAAAGGCGUAACGAUCUGGGCACUGUCUCAACGAGAGACUCGGUGAAAUUAUACUCUGCGUGAAGAUGCGCAGUACCCGCGACAGGACGGAAAGACCCCGUGGAGCUUUACUGUAACCUGAUAUUGAAUUUCGGUUCAGUCUGUACAGGAUAGGUAGGAGCCUUAGAACUCGGAGCGCCAGCUUCGAGGGAGGCGUUGGUGGGAUACUACCCUGACUGAAUUGAAAUUCUAACCCAUACCCCUUAGCGGGGUAGGCGACAGUGUCAGGCGGGCAGUUUGACUGGGGCGGUCGCCUCCUAAAGUGUAACGGAGGCGCCCAAAGGUUCCCUCAGAAUGGUUGGACAUCAUUCGUAGAGUGCAAAGGCAUAAGGGAGCUUGACUGCGAGACCUACAAGUCGAGCAGGGUCGAAAGACGGGCUUAGUGAUCCGGUGGUUCCGCAUGGAAGGGCCAUCGCUCAACGGAUAAAAGCUACCCCGGGGAUAACAGGCUUAUCUCCCCCAAGAGUUCACAUCGACGGGGAGGUUUGGCACCUCGAUGUCGGCUCAUCGCAUCCUGGAGCUGUAGUCGGUUCCAAGGGUUGGGCUGUUCGCCCAUUAAAGCGGUACGCGAGCUGGGUUCAGAACGUCGUGAGACAGUUCGGUCCCUAUCCGUCGUGGGCGUUGGAAAUUUGAGAGGAGCUGUCCUUAGUACGAGAGGACCGGGAUGGACACACCGCUGGUGUACCAGUUGUCUUGCCAAAGGCAUCGCUGGGUAGCUACGUGUGGACGGGAUAAAUGCUGAAAGCAUCUAAGCAUGAAGCCCCCCUCAAGAUGAGAUUUCCCAUUGUUUCAAACAAGUAAGAUCCCUCAAAGAUGAUGAGGUAGAUAGGUCUCGGGUGGAAGUGUGGCGACAUACGGAGCUGAGAGAUACUAAUCGAUCGAGGACUUAACCUA
RNAcentral lists this ribosomal RNA (2931 nucleotides) under Savagea serpentis. RNAcentral describes it as "Bacterial large subunit ribosomal RNA". It matches the Rfam family "Bacterial large subunit ribosomal RNA". The record is from Rfam by way of RNAcentral. Lineage: Bacteria; Bacillati; Bacillota; Bacilli; Caryophanales; Caryophanaceae.